Molecule: non-coding RNA, 82 nt
Filed under: uncultured Phascolarctobacterium sp.
Lineage: Bacteria; Bacillati; Bacillota; Negativicutes; Acidaminococcales; Acidaminococcaceae
Description: Glycine riboswitch
Rfam family: Glycine riboswitch aptamer (bases 5-77)
About the family: This family represents the bacterial glycine riboswitch. Glycine riboswitches usually consist of two metabolite-binding aptamers domains with similar structures in tandem.
Source: RNAcentral
AAACUCUGGAGAACUCGUUAAGUCGGGUGCCGAAGGUGCAAGGUAGCAAUACCGAAUCUCUCAGGCAAAAGGACAGAUGUAA